GUGAGGAAUAUUGGUCAAUGGGCGAGAGCCUGAACCAGCCAAGUAGCGUGGAGGAUGACGGCCCUACGGGUUGUAAACUCCUUUUAUCAGGGGAUAAAGUCCACUACGUGUAGUGGUUUGCAGGUACCUGAUGAAUAAGGACCGGCUAAUUCCGUGCCAGCAGCCGCGGUAAUACGGAAGGUCCGGGCGUUAUCCGGAUUUAUUGGGUUUAAAGGGAGCGCAGACGGGCUGUUAAGCGUGACGUGAAAUCCGGGGGCUCAACCUUCGGCUGCGUCGCGAACUGGCGGCCUUGAGUGGACGGUAGGCAGGCGGAAUUCGUGGUGUAGCGGUGAAAUGCUUAGAUAUCACGAAGAACCCCGAUUGCGAAGGCAGCUUGCCGCAGUCUUACUGACGUUCAUGCUCGAAGGUGCGGGUAUCGAACAGG
This 424-nucleotide ribosomal RNA is filed under the name uncultured rumen bacterium. RNAcentral's name for it is "bacterial SSU rRNA". It matches the Rfam family "Bacterial small subunit ribosomal RNA", at positions 354 to 776 of the family's 1533-position model. The record is from RNAcentral.